GCAGUAGCCGCGGUAAUACAGAGGGUGCGAGCGUUAAUCGGAUUUACUGGGCGUAAAGCGUGCGUAGGCGGCUAAUUGAGUCGGAUGUGAAAUCCCCGAGCUUAACUUGGGAAUUGCAUUCGAUACUGGUUAGCUAGAGUGUGGGAGAGGAUGGUAGAAUUCCAGGUGUAGCGGUGAAAUGCGUAGAGAUCUGGAGGAAUACCGAUGGCGAAGGCAGCCAUCUGGCCUAACACUGACGCUGAGGUACGAAAGCAUGGGGAGCAAACAGGAUUAGAUACCCCGGUAGUCCCUGUCUCUUAUAA
Molecule: ribosomal RNA, 302 nt
Filed under: uncultured bacterium
Lineage: Bacteria
Description: partial 16S ribosomal RNA
Rfam family: Bacterial small subunit ribosomal RNA
Source: RNAcentral